GCGCACAUAGCUCAGCGGUAGAGCCCUGGUUUUACACACCAGUGGUCGUAGGUUCGAUCCCUACUGUGCGCA
Molecule: transfer RNA, 72 nt
Filed under: Gordonia sp. (in: high G+C Gram-positive bacteria)
Lineage: Bacteria; Bacillati; Actinomycetota; Actinomycetes; Mycobacteriales; Gordoniaceae
Also listed under: 1 other name
Description: tRNA-Val
Rfam family: tRNA
About the family: Transfer RNA (tRNA) molecules are approximately 80 nucleotides in length. Their secondary structure includes four short double-helical elements and three loops (D, anti-codon, and T loops).
Source: RNAcentral